This is an RNA transcript of Plodia interpunctella (Indianmeal moth), 1986 nucleotides long. RefSeq lists it as uncharacterized. Lineage: Eukaryota; Metazoa; Arthropoda; Insecta; Lepidoptera; Pyralidae. The record is from RefSeq and is a predicted model, not a curated record. The transcript is spliced from 11 exons.
CAAACAAAUCGAAAUGUCACUUUUCCGAGUAUUUUGCAUAAGUAUUAAACAAUUUUCAGAUAUCUAGAUUUAGUAAGUUUUGUUAUAGUUAUUAUAGAAAUCAGAAUCAUCAGGAAUGUCGGGAGUAAAAAUAGAAAGAAGAAAAUUGCCAAAACUUAUGGCCUGCAUGACAAAACAAAGUUUAGAAAACUUGCGGAACAAAGCUUUGUUUAGUUUGGAUGUGCUCGAUGCGAAGGGAAUCCGGAGACGAAAACAACCCUUACAUGAAUGUUUGGUUCUGGAGCUCAAGGAAGCUGGCUAUUCGGAGUCAGCGGACUACCUACAAGACUUACUUUAUGAUAAUAUGCAAUUACUAGCGGCAGACGACAUAGGUAUCGUUGUUGACUUGCGUAAGAGAGAAGAUUAUUUGGAGGAUAUCGCCGUAGGCCUUAUGAAGGCAGAAAAACAUAGAGAUAGAGGGGAAACGAAGCAAGAAGCGUUGCAGCUGUUAAGUUUAGCCUUGCAAUACGCUGAAAUGGGAAAGGGAAUUCUUUGGCUAGCUGAAAAAUUCUAUUUGGCAUCUAUAGCCGUGGCCAGCCAGUUUUUACUAGACGGAGGUCGACAAAAGGGAUGUUGUAAAUACCAUUAUGGAAAAUUUCUGCUCGACAAAUUUCCUGGGGCAGAUCCUGAAGAAUCGUUCCUGAUAUUGACUGAAGUUAGAGAUAGUGCAAUAGGGAAGAGUUGGUAUCUUCAUGAACCAAACGCAGAUGGCGAGGUAUUUCCUAAAGAAACCCUAUUUGGCGCCUCGGCUAUACAGUUACAUCGCGUUUUGCUAGAUAAAGCUAGAGCCAUUAGAAAGAAAGACACGGGAAAAGCGGAAAGGUUGGCCAGACUGGCUGAGAGGAGAGCCAAGGACGCCAAUGAAACUGGGAAGACAGCGGAAGCAAUACUAGAGAUUGGUGUAUGUCAAUUAGCUAUGAAUAAUUUAAAUAACGCUCAGAAGACAUUUGAGAGAGCAUUUAAAAUAUACACAGAUAGCAACAACAUUGAAGGUUUGUGUGACACUAGAAUGCACCUAGCUGCUGUUAUGCAGAGGUUAAAAGACCAUGAGAUGGCUGCGAAAUUACUAACAGAGAUGGGUGCUCUUGCGAUGGAGCACCAGCUGCGAAGACACCUGGGCCGAGCAUUGCACCUUCUGGGAGAACUACAUCUUCGGAGGGAGCGGCCUGAACUGGGCACGCAGCAUCUGGCCGAAGCGUUCGUAUGUUUUAUGGGGCUCUCAUGUGUUGGGGUAGAAUCCUCAGUGUCACAAUUUAAAUAUGAUAGUAAUGAUAGCGACGAUGGAGUUACAAGUAUUUACGAGAAGAAGAAAAACGAGAUUUUUGAGGAAGAAGCGGAGCAGUCGAGAUUGAUGAUGGCGAUUUCUGCGGGCCAAGAAAACAUGGCGUCGUAUUUCCAACUCCUGAAGGAGGCAGGUGAAUGUGCCGUGGCCCAGAUGAAGACGAUAGAGUGGAAACUCGCCCACGCCGGCUGGUGGAUCAAGCGGCAGCACCACGACUUCUUGCCUUGUCUGUGUCCUACUCACCAACGAACACCUCUGGACAUUUUAAGAAUCAAAUUAAAAUUGAAAGAGGAUAAUGCUAGCAAAUUUGACCAAGGCUCUGUUAGCAAAAUAAUAGAGCUCACUCGAAUGGACAAAGUCGAGGAUAUUCAAACGCUGCGAAGUAGUCACAGACAAAUCAAUAAAAAAUAGUAAAAUCAUUUCGUUAUACUCGUAACUCCUGAUAGUGACCGAAGAAAUAAUCAUUUUCUUACCCAAUUAAAUCUUAAGGGUGUAAUCCUUGGGCUCCCGUCCUGGAUGACCAUGAGGUUUCAAUUAAAAUUAUUAGAGGAACUGGGCAGCAAGGCCAUGUUAGGCUCUAUCAGCAGACUCAUGGAGCAUACACCAUUGGAAACCGUUAACGAUAUCCAAAAGCUGCGGAGUAGUCAAAUCAAAAAAUAAUAAAU